RNAcentral lists this long non-coding RNA (811 nucleotides) under Mytilus galloprovincialis (Mediterranean mussel). Lineage: Eukaryota; Metazoa; Mollusca; Bivalvia; Mytilida; Mytilidae. The record is from RNAcentral.
AAAAGUUCAGUGAAACAAUACAUUUUCACAUGUGUUGCCCAAUUUUUAGCUCUAUAUGUUAAUAGAUUGUUCGUUUUGCUAAUGGUGAUUGUGCACCUUAUAUUGCUAUCAUAUUUUGAAAAUGAUUGUCAGAAAAUUAUCAGAAUAACUUAUUUCUAUAUUUUAAUUUGCUUUCAUUAUUGCUGAUUAUCAGCUGCUUUGUUAUGAUCUAAUAACCAAUGGCAUCUAUGUAAAGAACAUGCCCAUGUUAACAAUGAUGAUCAUUUUUUGUUACUAUUUUUUCCAAUAUUAAAAUAGACACCUUAUCUAUUUUUGUAAUUUGUUCUCAUGGACAUUCACUUUGUUCUCUUGCUUUUCCUAUGGUCAAGUGUGUUCCUCCUCAACCUUGAUUACUCGUUUUAAGUUGUUCAAAAUUUGGAAAAGUCUUUGAAUUUCGCACAAAUCUUUGCAAAACCCUGGUAUUUCAAACAUUUUUAAAAUUUUAAGUUAUUUCCUUUUCCCAUCAUAGAUUUAAAAUUACUUUGAUCGUCCUGACAAGUUUCAACUAAAGAAAGUUAAUUUCAUAAUCCUUAAAGCAGUUACCUAGAUAAUUUUGAUAUUUUAAAAAAUGUCUUUUAAUUCAAGAAAAUUCUGACUGUCCAGUCUGCCUUAUAUGUCACCUGAUUUUAGAAGUUAUUUGAUAUCGGCAUACACAUGAUCAUCAUUGUGGCUGCAAUUAGCAAAUUAGGUUUGUUAAGAUGUUUCAUUUGAUAAUUUUUAUCACUGUAUUAAUUAAAUGUGGGGUGCAAUAUAUUUUUAUAAAAAUGCUUUA